RNAcentral lists this ribosomal RNA (461 nucleotides) under uncultured bacterium. RNAcentral's name for it is "partial 16S ribosomal RNA". It matches the Rfam family "Bacterial small subunit ribosomal RNA", at positions 338 to 795 of the family's 1533-position model. The record is from RNAcentral.
CCUACGGGAGGCAGCAGUGAGGAAUAUUGGUCAAUGGGCUUACGCCUGAACCAGCCAAGUCGCGUGAGGGAAGACUGCCCUAUGGGUUGUAAACCUCUUUUGUCAGGGAGCAACGCCGGCUACGUGUAGCCGGACUGAGAGUACCUGAAGAAAAAGCCUCGGCUAACUCCGUGCCAGCCGCCGCGGUAAUACGUAGGUGGCAAGCGUUAUCCGGAUGUACUGGGUGUAAAGGGCGUGUAGGCGGGACGUCAAGUCAGAUGUGAAAACCAUGGGCUCAACCCAUGGCCUGCAUUUGACACUGUAGUUCUUGAGUGUUGGAGCGGCAGGCGGAAUGCCGUGUGUAGCGGUGAAAUGCGUAGAUAUACGGAGGAACACCAGUGGCGAAGGCGGCCUGCUGGACAAUAACUGACGCUGAGGCGCGAAAGCGUGGGGAGCAAACAGGAUUAGAUACCCCUGUAGUC